This 742-nucleotide ribosomal RNA is filed under the name Lignosus tigris. Its description in RNAcentral is "eukaryotic LSU rRNA". It matches the Rfam family "Eukaryotic large subunit ribosomal RNA", at positions 142 to 869 of the family's 3401-position model. The record is from RNAcentral. Lineage: Eukaryota; Fungi; Basidiomycota; Agaricomycetes; Polyporales; Polyporaceae.
GUUGUAGUCUGGAGAAGUGCCUUCCGCGUUGGACCGUGUAUAAGUCUCUUGGAACAGAGCGUCAUAGAGGGUGAGAAUCCCGUCUUUGACACGGACUACCAGUGCUUUGUGAUGCGCUCUCGAAGAGUCGAGUUGUUUGGGAAUGCAGCUCAAAAUGGGUGGUAAAUUCCAUCUAAAGCUAAAUAUUGGCGAGAGACCGAUAGCGAACAAGUACCGUGAGGGAAAGAUGAAAAGCACUUUGGAAAGAGAGUUAAACAGUACGUGAAAUUGCUGAAAGGGAAACGCUUGAAGUCAGUCGCGUCUGCCGGNAACUCAGCCUUGCUCCCGCUUGGUGCACUUUCCGGUGGACGGGCCAGCAUUGAUUUUGACCGUCGGAGAAGGGCUGGAGAAAUGUGGCACCUUUUGGUGUGUUAUAGUCUUCGGUCGCAUACGUCGGUCGGGAUCGAGGAACGCAGCGCGCCGCAAGGCAGGAGCGUAAAGCUCACUUUCGCGCUUAGGAUGCUGGCAUAAUGGCUUUAAACGACCCGUCUUGAAACACGGACCAAGGAGUCUAACGUGCCUGCGAGUGUUUGGGUGGAAAACCCGAGCGCGAAAUGAAAGUGAAAGUUGAGACCUCUGUCGUGGAGGGCAUCGACGCCCGGACCUGACGUUCUCUGACGGCUCCGCGGUAGAGCAUGUAUGUUGGGACCCGAAAGAUGGUGAACUAUGCCUGAAUAGGGUGAAGCCAGAGGAAACUCUGGUG